RNAcentral lists this ribosomal RNA (468 nucleotides) under uncultured bacterium. Its description in RNAcentral is "partial 16S ribosomal RNA". It matches the Rfam family "Bacterial small subunit ribosomal RNA", at positions 28 to 507 of the family's 1533-position model. The record is from RNAcentral.
GACGAACGCUGGCGGCGUGCUUAACACAUGCAAGUCGAACGGAAAGGCCCUGCUCUUGUGGGGUGCUCGAGUGGCGAACGGGUGAGUAACACGUGAGUAACCUGCCCUUGACUUUGGGAUAACUUCAGGAAACUGGGGCUAAUACCGGAUAGGAGCUCCUGCUGCAUGGUGGGGGUUGGAAAGUUUCGGCGGUUGGGGAUGGACUCGCGGCUUAUCAGCUUGUUGGUGGGGUAGUGGCUUACCAAGGCUUUGACGGGUAGCCGGCCUGAGAGGGUGACCGGCCACAUUGGGACUGAGAUACGGCCCAGACUCCUACGGGAGGCAGCAGUGGGGAGUAUUGCACAAUGGGCGGAAGCCUGAUGCAGCAACGCCGCGUGCGGGAUGACGGCCUUCGGGUUGUAAACCGCUUUCGCCUGUGACGAAGCGUGAGUGACGGUAAUGGGUAAAGAAGCACCGGCUAACUACGUG